AUUGAACGCUGGCGGCAUGCCUUACACAUGCAAGUCGAACGGCAGCACGGGAGCAAUCCUGGUGGCGAGUGGCGAACGGGUGAGUAAUAUAUCGGAACGUGCCCAGUCGUGGGGAUAACGUAGCGAAAGCUACGCUAAUACCGCAUACGAUCUACGGAUGAAAGCGGGGGAUCGCAAGACCUCGCGCGAUUGGAGCGGCCGAUAUCAGAUUAGGUAGUUGGUGAGGUAAAAGCUCACCAAGCCGACGAUCUGUAGCUGGUUUGAGAGAACGACCAGCCACACUGGGACUGAGACACGGCCCAGACUCCUACGGGAGGCAGCAGUGGGGAAUUUUGGGACAAUGGGCGAAAGCCUGAUCCAGCAAUGCCGCGUGCAGGAAGAAGGCCUUCGGGUU
This 394-nucleotide ribosomal RNA is filed under the name uncultured bacterium. RNAcentral's name for it is "bacterial SSU rRNA". It matches the Rfam family "Bacterial small subunit ribosomal RNA", at positions 30 to 424 of the family's 1533-position model. The record is from RNAcentral.